UCGAGAAUAAUUCACAAUGGACGAAAGUCUGAUGGUGCAACGCCGCGUGGAGGAUGACGGUCUUCGGAUUGUAAACUCCUGUCAUCAGGGAGUAAGACCUGGAGGUUAAUAGCCUACAGGGUUGAUAGUACCUGAAGAGGAAGGGACGGCUAACUUCGUGCCAGCAGCCGCGGUAAUACGAAGGUCCCAAGCGUUGUUCGGAUUCACUGGGCGUAAAGGGAGCGUAGGCUGUGCGGUAAGUCAGAUGUGAAAUCCCGGGGCUCAACCCCGGAACUGCAUCCGAUACUGCCGUACUAGAGUAUUGGAGAGGUAACAGGAAUUCACGGUGUAGCAGUGAAAUGCGUAGAUAUCGUGAGGAAGACCAAUGGCGAAAGCAUGUUACUGGACAAUUACUGACGCUGAGGCUCGAAGGCUAGGGUAGCGAAAGGG
RNAcentral lists this ribosomal RNA (429 nucleotides) under uncultured bacterium. Its description in RNAcentral is "bacterial SSU rRNA". It matches the Rfam family "Bacterial small subunit ribosomal RNA", at positions 355 to 776 of the family's 1533-position model. The record is from RNAcentral.